Molecule: ribosomal RNA, 429 nt
Filed under: Actinomycetes bacterium
Lineage: Bacteria; Bacillati; Actinomycetota; Actinomycetes
Description: Actinobacteria bacterium partial 16S ribosomal RNA
Rfam family: Bacterial small subunit ribosomal RNA
Source: RNAcentral
UAGGGAAUCUUCCGCAAUGGGCGAAAGCCUGACGGAGCAACGCCGCGUGAGUGAUGAAGGUCUUCGGAUCGUAAAACUCUGUUAUUAGGGAAGAACAAAUGUGUAAGUAACUAUGCACGUCUUGACGGUACCUAAUCAGAAAGCCACGGCUAACUACGUGCCAGCAGCCGCGGUAAUACGUAGGUGGCAAGCGUUAUCCGGAAUUAUUGGGCGUAAAGCGCGCGUAGGGGGUUUUUUAAGUCUGAUGUGAAAGCCCACGGCUCAACCGUGGAGGGUCAUUGGAAACUGGAAAACUUGAGUGCAGAAGAGGAAAGUGGAAUUCCAUGUGUAGCGGUGAAAUGCGCAGAGAUAUGGAGGAACACCAGUGGCGAAGGCGACUUUCUGGUCUGUAACUGACGCUGAUGUGCGAAAGCGUGGGGAUCAAACAGG